UAAGCUGGCUUCUCUGAUGUUAGCGGCGGACGGGUGAGUAACACGUGGAUAACCUACCUAUAAGACUGGGAUAACUUCGGGAAACCGGAGCUAAUACCGGAUAAUAUUUUGAACCGCAUGGUUCAAAAGUGAAAGACGGUCUUGCUGUCACUUAUAGAUGGAUCCGCGCUGCAUUAGCUAGUUGGUAAGGUAACGGCUUACCAAGGCAACGAUGCAUAGCCGACCUGAGAGGGUGAUCGGCCACACUGGAACUGAGACACGGUCCAGACUCCUACGGGAGGCAGCAGUAGGGAAUCUUCCGCAAUGGGCGAAAGCCUGACGGAGCAACGCCGCGUGAGUGAUGAAGGUCUUCGGAUCGUAAAACUCUGUUAUUAGGGAAGAACAUAUGUGUAAGUAACUGUGCACAUCUUGACGGUACCUAAUCAGAAAGCCACGGCUAACUACGUGCCAGCAGCCGCGGUAAUACGUAGGUGGCAAGCGUUAUCCGGAAUUAUUGGGCGUAAAGCGCGCGUAGGCGGUUUUUUAAGUCUGAUGUGAAAGCCCACGGCUCAACCGUGGAGGGUCAUUGGAAACUGGAAAACUUGAGUGCAGAAGAGGAAAGUGGAAUUCCAUGUGUAGCGGUGAAAUGCGCAGAGAUAUGGAGGAACACCAGUGGCGAAGGCGACUUUCUGGUCUGUAACUGACGCUGAUGUGCGAAAGCGUGGGGAUCAAACAGGAUUAGAUACCCUGGUAGUCACGCCGUAAACGAUGAGUGCUAAGUGUUAGGGGGUUUUCCGCCCCUUAGUGCUGCAGCUAACGCAUUAAGCACUCCGCCUGGGGGA
RNAcentral lists this ribosomal RNA (821 nucleotides) under Staphylococcus aureus. RNAcentral's name for it is "bacterial SSU rRNA". It matches the Rfam family "Bacterial small subunit ribosomal RNA", at positions 75 to 880 of the family's 1533-position model. Lineage: Bacteria; Bacillati; Bacillota; Bacilli; Caryophanales; Staphylococcaceae. The record is from RNAcentral.